RNAcentral lists this long non-coding RNA (888 nucleotides) under Lonchura striata (white-rumped munia). RNAcentral's name for it is "domestica (Bengalese finch) lncRNA (ENSLSDG00000003042.1)". Lineage: Eukaryota; Metazoa; Chordata; Aves; Passeriformes; Estrildidae. The record is from RNAcentral.
AUAAGAAUGCUAAUUGGGCUUGGGAGUGCCUGGGUUAAACUGGGCGGGAACGAGCGAAUCCCUGACCCCGCCCACCUCAUUACUAUGCAAAUCUAUGCAAACGAGACGCAGAACCAACCGAGCCAGUUUCGUUCUCUCCUUUAUUAAUUAACCACAAUUAAUUAAUUAUUCGCGCCCCUCCCCCCCCCCGGGGGCGGGGCCUGCGCUCGGCCCCUCCCCCCCCUCCCGGCCUGCGGGAAAAGCCCCAAAAAUCCCCGAAAUUCCCCCAAAAAAACGACCCCAAAAACCCCAAAAUUUACACGGAAAAAAAGAGAAGCCACGCCCCUCCGCCUCAUUUGCAUAACCCGCUGCCGUCGGCCAAUCGGCGUCGGGAAGGGGCGGGGCCCGGCCCGCAGCACCAAUCGAUGAGGAAAGGGGCGUGGCCAUGCAAAUGAGGCCUGGCCAGGUGAGCCUGGGGGGGGUGUCUAUGCAAAUUGGGAGUUUCAAGGGCGUGUCUAUGCAAAUUGGGACUGUCUAUGCAAAUUAGGCCUGUCCAGGUGAGUCUGGGUGUGUGCCUAUGCAAAUUGGACGUGUCUAUGCAAAUUGGGAUGUCCAGGUAAGUCUGGGGGCGUGUCUAUGCAAAUGAGGAGUGUCCAGGUGAGUCUGGGGGCGUGUCUAUGCAAAUUGGGCAUGUCAGGGGCGUGUCUAUGCAAAUUAGGGUGUCCAUUGACAAAGGGGCGUGUCCAUGUGAGUCAGGUGGGCGUGUCUAUGCAAAUGGGGUGUCCAUUGACAAAGGGUUUAUCCAAUGACAAAGGGGCGUGUCCAGGUGAGUCAGGUGGGCGUGUCUAUGCAAAUGGGGUGUCCAUUGACAAAGGGUUUGUCCAAUGGCAGAAGGGGCGUGUCCAAUGA